RNAcentral lists this long non-coding RNA (549 nucleotides) under Zea mays. Its description in RNAcentral is "drought-responsive long non-coding RNA". The record is from RNAcentral. Lineage: Eukaryota; Viridiplantae; Streptophyta; Magnoliopsida; Poales; Poaceae.
AAAAACCACACCGCGGCGGCAGCUAUAUAAAAGCCUUCACCUGACCCGGGCGCUAGGGUUUAUUCGCUCCUCCCGCCCGCCGCCGUCGCCGCCUCCUCUCCCCAGCACCCGGAGCUCGCCCGACCGCCGCUCACCAUGAUCAUCCCCAAGAAGAACCGCAAUGAGAUCUGCAAGUACCUCUUCAAGGGUAUGUGGUUCUUGGUCCACUAGACUCGCAGUAGGGUAACCUGGGCUGAUUGGUUGUUUCACCUUCUAGGAGGUGACAGGUCUUCAAAUUAUUUUCGUAUUACUAGGAGGGAGUGCUCGUGUAUUAUUUUGAGUUCACUUUUUUGGUCCAAUUUCAGCAUCUCACAAACUUACGAUCUGAUAUAUAGGCUUGACACAGCGAGCAUUGUCAAAUAUUUUUGUGCUCCAAAUUUAUUUGCCCCCUAAACUAUGGAUUCCUUGUUAUACAUUCAUCUGCGUUAUGUUCAUGCGAUUUCUGUUAGUUUGAUGUAUUUGCUGCUGCAGAGGGCGUGCUGUAUGCCAAGAAGGACUACAACCUGGCGA